GCCUGUCUCCUUAGAAAUCAAGGAUACAGAGGUACGAGCCUAUAGAACAGAUCCUGUUCAAGUAAGGUCGUCACCUCUUCCUUCUUCUCUUCGCUAUAUAAACGAUACGACUUCUCCUUGGGUUUCCGAUGUGGGUUACAAUAUAUAACUUCAAACGCCCAAUACGCCGCCGUUUCAAAGCUCAACACACUAAUAAUGCCUCUGAUACGCCGUCGUUUAGUUAUCAUAAUGUCUGAUGAAGAAACUGUGAAACAAAGGUUUAUUUUCGUAAUCAGAAUCUCAUUUUGCUUUAACUAUUUUCGAUUAGCGUUUUCUUGGAAGUUUCUUCGGUUGUAGUGUAAGAUCUCAGUGUGGCUCUACGAGAUUCUGGGUUCGGAAGAUCCAAUCUCUUACUCAGGAUUGUGAAAUGUUCGAUGGGAUUUCUAUUAGACUUUUAUGUUAAUUGGUCGAAGUUUUGAAUUAAAGCAAAACAAUGGGACUACCAGAAGUAUAUCCAAAGACUCCUAACAUGUAGAAACCUCUGGGAGUAAGUGAUGAUUCUCCUCCCACCAACCAUGCUUGUUCUUUAUGACUUCAUUUGUCUCUCGAAUCGAGAGUCUCGAUCAUUACAGUAAAUGGUAUUUAGGAGACAACUGUGAAUCUGAAUCAUAAUUCAUUGAUUUGUACAUAGAAACACACAAAAAGCGACAAAACUUGACAGUGCGGUUUGUGAAUUGAAUUGAGGCUUAUUUAGUCAGGUUUAGUACAUGCACGUAAAAUCAUUCACGACUUUGAAGCAAAGACUUUUUAUCUAUUGUCUGUUUUGCAUGUGUUCCCUAACCGAUCUAUCUGUCUUGUUUAUCUGAAUAGUACCAGCACAUUUACAAAGCAAAACAGUAAACAAAACAAAUUCAUAUGUUAUGGGUUUGGCUUUUAAGAUACAAUGAUUGUCUCUCCUGACUUAACGGAAAAGGCGGGGAACUGUCUUUUGAGGCACUUUCCCUUGGAGCUUGAGACUACGAUAGGACUCUCGGAUAUGGCAAGGUCUGAUGUGUCCUGAUUCUUUCCUUUUCACCAUAAUCAGUCGAGCUGUUUCCACGAGCUCACCAACAAACAUUUUUGCUAUCCCACUAACAACGGACAGCCUAGGGUCGUCGUUGUUCAUAUCCCUGUGAUACUCUCUAAUAGCUUCUUCAUGUUUGAUUUGUGAAGAGUAGAUCUCCUGAAACAUUCAUAUCUGCUCAUUUGUUCCUCUGUGAACUGCGAUAUAACCGCAUGCAGGCAUCUUCACUACCUUCUUCUCACGAUCAUUAACUUCCGGAGGGUUUAAGUUUCUUCACCUGACGGAGAAGGCCAACAUCAUCAUCGCUAUCUUUUCCGCUUCUUCCACCGUCACAAACAGGGGAGUCUGGAGAAGAUUCAUCCUGCUCCUCCUCAAUAGCUGUUUCAAAAGGAUUUUUGUAUCGCUUCAUUAAAAAAUACUUGUAAUUAUUAAUAUAUGGAACCCCUUUAUAUACUUAUGUUUGGCUUAGUAAAUUAAGUUGGUUUUCCGAUGUGGGGCAACUUA
Molecule: long non-coding RNA, 1546 nt
Organism: Raphanus sativus (radish)
Lineage: Eukaryota; Viridiplantae; Streptophyta; Magnoliopsida; Brassicales; Brassicaceae
Exons: 2
Source: RefSeq, a predicted model, not a curated record